AACGUAGGAGGCGAGCGUUAUCCGGAUUUACUGGGUGUAAAGCGCGUGCAGGCGGUUUGCUAAGUUGGAUGUGAAAGCUCCCGGCUCAACUGGGAGAGGUCGUUCAAGACUGGCAGACUGGAGAGCAGUAGGGGAAGGUGGAAUUCCGGGUGUAGUGGUGAAAUGCGUAGAUAUCCGGAGGAACACCAGUGGCGAAAGCGGCCUUCUGGACUGCAUCUGACGCUCAGACGCGAAAGCUAGGGGAGCAAACGGG
This 253-nucleotide ribosomal RNA is filed under the name uncultured bacterium. RNAcentral describes it as "partial 16S ribosomal RNA". It matches the Rfam family "Bacterial small subunit ribosomal RNA", at positions 524 to 776 of the family's 1533-position model. The record is from RNAcentral.